GACGAACGCUGGCGGCGUGCUUAACACAUGCAAGUCGAACGGAAAGGCCCUGCUUUUGUGGGGUGCUCGAGUGGCGAACGGGUGAGUAACACGUGAGUAACCUGCCCUUGACUUUGGGAUAACUUCAGGAAACUGGGGCUAAUACCGGAUAGGAGCUCCUGCUGCAUGGUGGGGGUUGGAAAGUUUCGGCGGUUGGGGAUGGACUCGCGGCUUAUCAGCUUGUUGGUGGGGUAGUGGCUUACCAAGGCUUUGACGGGUAGCCGGCCUGUGAGGGUGACCGGCCACAUUGGGACUGAGAUACGGCCCAGAAUCCUACGGGAGGCAGCAGUGGGGAAUAUUGCACAAUGGGCGGAAGCCUGAUGCAGCAACGCCGCGUGCGGGAUGACGGCCUUCGGGUUGUAAACCGCUUUCGCCUGUGACGAAGCGUGAGUGACGGUAAUGGGUAAAGAAGCACCGGCUAACUACGUG
This 468-nucleotide ribosomal RNA is filed under the name uncultured bacterium. RNAcentral's name for it is "partial 16S ribosomal RNA". It matches the Rfam family "Bacterial small subunit ribosomal RNA", at positions 28 to 507 of the family's 1533-position model. The record is from RNAcentral.